GCCCAGCACCGAAUCCUGUAUCGUCUUGAUACUAGGAAAUGUGGUGUUUAGGCCGUGCUUUGUGCCGGUAUGAUUCUCCUCAAGUCCACUUGAUUGUGGCUUCAGGCCCAGAGAGGGUGUAAGGCCCGUGGAGGCGAGUCGUCCGGUGCCCGGCACGUCCUUAGAGUCGGGUUGUUUGGGAAUGCAGCCCAAAGCGGGUGGUAAACUCCAUCCAAGGCUAAAUACUAGCACGAGUCCGAUAGCGAAGAAGUACCGCGAGGGAAAGUUGAAAAGAACUUUGAAGAGAGAGUUCAAGAGUACGUGAAACCGCUGAGAGGCAAACUGGUGGAGCUGAAAUGGUCUUGAGGAAUUCAGCCCUUCCUACUAGAGUUGGCGUCGGUUGUGAGAUCUCACGACUCCGCUGGCGUUCAUCUUCGUGAAGGAUAGGUGCACUUUCCUCUUGAUCGGACCACGACCAGCGACUUGUUUCUUGUCUGACAUAGACGGAAGGUAGCGUUGGCUUCGGCGAACGUGUUAUAGCCGGUUAUUUGGAUGAGCAAGGCGUUGGAUGCAAUGCUAGGCGCUUGCCCUUUUGGGCUCGUACGUUGUCACUUUCAGGUGUGUCGCCGGCUUCACUGCCUUUGGCAGGGGUGUUGGAGACGCGUCGGUUAGCGGCGGCCUCUGCGAUUGGCGUCGAAAGUCUGUGGUUAUGAAGUAGGCAGUCCACCUGACCCGUCUUGAAACACGGACCAAGGAGUCUAACAUGUGCGCGAGUCAUUGGGCUCUACGAAACCUAAAGGCGCAGUGAAAGUAAAGAUCCAUUUUGAUGGAUUGAGGUGGGAUCCUGAGUCACGUGCUCGGGCGCACUACCGGCCCGUUCGACAUGUAUUCAUGCGGGCGGAGCAAGAGCGUACAUCGUUGGGACCCGAAAGAUGGUGAAUCUAUGCUUGCGCCAGGUCGAAGCCCAGAG
This 949-nucleotide ribosomal RNA is filed under the name Notocomplana ferruginea. RNAcentral describes it as "partial large subunit ribosomal RNA". It matches the Rfam family "Eukaryotic large subunit ribosomal RNA", at positions 107 to 858 of the family's 3401-position model. Lineage: Eukaryota; Metazoa; Platyhelminthes; Polycladida; Notocomplanidae. The record is from RNAcentral.